Molecule: ribosomal RNA, 456 nt
Filed under: uncultured bacterium
Lineage: Bacteria
Description: bacterial SSU rRNA
Rfam family: Bacterial small subunit ribosomal RNA
Source: RNAcentral
UACGGAAGGCAGCAGUGGGGAAUAUUGCACAAUGGGCGCAAGCCUGAUGCAGCCAUGCCGCGUGUAUGAAGAAGGCCUUCGGGUUGUAAAGUACUUUCAGCGGGGAGGAAGGCGAUGCGGUUAAUAACCGCGUCGAUUGACGUUACCCGCAGAAGAAGCACCGGCUAACUCCGUGCCAGCAGCCGCGGUAAUACGGAGGGUGCAAGCGUUAAUCGGAAUUACUGGGCGUAAAGCGCACGCAGGCGGUCUGUUAAGUCAGAUGUGAAAUCCCCGGGCUUAACCUGGGAACUGCAUUUUGAAACUGGCAGGCUUGAGUCUUGUAGAGGGGGUAGAAUUCCAGGUGUAGCGGUGAAAUGCGUAGAGAUCUGGAGGAAUACCGGUGGCGAAGGCGGGCCCCUGGGACAAAGACUGACGCUCAGGUGCGAAAGCGUGGGGAGCAAACGAGGAUUAGAUACC